Molecule: non-coding RNA, 395 nt
Organism: Leptonychotes weddellii (Weddell seal)
Lineage: Eukaryota; Metazoa; Chordata; Mammalia; Carnivora; Phocidae
Source: RefSeq, a predicted model, not a curated record
CUUCCAAUGAUGUCAGGUUGGGCUCCGCCGUCACAUGGACCUGGACCGGAGCCCUCAUUCUGCCUCUCGAUGACUCUGACCUGGGAACCUGGGAUUGCCAACUGGCUCGGGACCAUGUAGCCACGAAGUCGCAGAGCCAUGUUUUGAACCCGUGGAUCUCUCAGAUUGCAACCUCUGUGCUCUUUAAGCAGAGCUCCCAGUGGGAUAAUGGCUUGUAACUGGCUGACGUCUCUGACCUGGAAUCGGACUGACAGAUGUGAGAUGGCAAGUCCAGGGAGAAGAAUGGAGCCCGCCUCUGACCUUUCUGUCCUCACCAAUGACGCGCGCCUGCACUCUUCCGUCUCUUGUCUCUUGCCCGUGUGUGGCAGGAGCGUGCCUCAGGAUUUUGAACACGG